This 679-nucleotide ribosomal RNA is filed under the name uncultured Staphylococcus sp. RNAcentral describes it as "bacterial SSU rRNA". It matches the Rfam family "Bacterial small subunit ribosomal RNA", at positions 73 to 744 of the family's 1533-position model. The record is from RNAcentral. Lineage: Bacteria; Bacillati; Bacillota; Bacilli; Caryophanales; Staphylococcaceae.
CAGGAGCUUGCUCCUCUGACGUAGCGGCGGACGGGUAUAACACGUGGGUAACCUACCUAUAAACUGGGAUAACUCCGGAAACCGGGGCUAAUACCGGAUAACACAUGAAACCGCAUGGUUUCAUGAUGAAAGACGUUUUGCUGUCACUUAUAGAUGGACCCGCGGCGUAUCAGCUAGUUGGUAAGGUAACGGCUUACCAAAGGCAACGAUUACGUAGCCGACCUGAGAGGGUGAUCGGCCACACUGGAACUGAGACACGGUCCAGACUCCUACGGGAGGCAGCAGUAGGGAAUCUUCCGCAAUGGGCGAAAGCCUGACGGAGCAACGCCGCGUGAGUGAUGAAGGUCUUCGGAUCGUAAAACUCUGUUAUUAGGGAAGAACAAGGAUGUAAGUAACUAUGCAUCCCUUGACGGUACCUAAUCAGAAAGCCACGGCUAACUACGUGCCAGCAGCCGCGGUAAUACGUAGGUGGCAAGCGUUAUCCGGAAUUAUUGGGCGUAAAGCGCGCGUAGGCGGUUUUUUAAGUCUGAUGUGAAAGCCCACGGCUCAACCGUGGAGGGUCAUUGGAAACUGGAAAACUUGAGUGCAGAAGAGGAAAGUGGAAUUCCAUGUGUAGCGGUGAAUGCGCAGAGAUAUGGAGGACACCAGUGGCGAAGGGACUUUCUGGUCUGCAACUGAC